Molecule: small RNA, 1702 nt
Filed under: Pongo abelii (Sumatran orangutan)
Lineage: Eukaryota; Metazoa; Chordata; Mammalia; Primates; Hominidae
Description: processed transcript
Source: RNAcentral
CGAGUGAGGGGAAACCCGAGGGGUUCCUUGGAGAAGGUGGUGCGUCCUGGGGCGGCAGCUGAGGAAGAAAGACGCAGUGCCCCGAAGCCACUGAGCUGAAAAGGGCCAGAAAGGGGGCGGCAUGGCAUGGCCCAAACUGCCCGCACCUUGGCUGCUGCUCUGCACCUGGCUCCCAGCAGGGUGCCUGUCCUUGCUUGUGACAGUCCAGCACACAGAACGCUAUGUCACCCUGUUUGCCUCUAUCAUCCUCAAAUGUGACUACACCACCUCUGCCCAGCUCCAGGACGUGGUGGUGACAUGGCGCUUCAAGUCCUUCUGCAAGGACCCUAUCUUUGACUACUACUCAGCAUCAUACCAGGCAGCUUUAUCCCUGGGCCAGGACCCAUCCAAUGACUGCAACGACAACCAGCGGGAAGUUCGCAUCGUGGCCCAGCGGCGGGGGCAGAAUGAGCCCGUGCUGGGGGUAGAUUACCGGCAGCGCAAGAUCACCAUCCAGAACCGAGCAGAUCUUGUGAUUAAUGAAGUGAUGUGGUGGGACCAUGGAGUGUAUUACUGCACCAUUGAGGCUCCAGGGGACACAUCAGGAGACCCCGAUAAGGAAGUAAAGCUCAUCGUCCUGCACUGGCUGACAGUGAUCUUCAUCAUCCUGGGAGCCCUCCUCCUCCUGCUGCUGAUUGGAGUGUGCUGGUGCCAGUGCUGUCCUCAGUAUUGCUGCUGCUACAUCCGCUGUCCCUGCUGUCCCGCCCGCUGCUGCUGUCCUGAGGAAGCCCUGGCCCGCCACCGCUACAUGAAGCAGGCCCAGGCCCUAGGUCCUCAGAUGAUGGAAAAACCCCUGUACUGGGGGGCGGACAGGAGCUCCCAGGUUUCAUCUUAUCCAAUGCACCCGCUGCUGCAGCGAGCCUCCCGCAGAUGCCAAUGACCCAGACCACCAAUCACCCUCCCAUUGCCAAUGGUGUCCUGGAGUAUUUGGAGAAAGAACUGCGGAACCUCAACCUGGCCCAGCCUCUGCCCCCCGACCUCAAAGCCAGAUUUGGCCAUCCCUGCAGCAUGCUGUCCUCCCUGGGCUCUGAAGUCGUGGAACGCAGAAUCAUCCACCUGCCCCCACUGAUCAGAGACCUGUCAUCCUCAAGGAGGACCAGUGACUCCCUGCACCAGCAGUGGCUCACCCCAAUUCCCUCCAGGCCCUGGGAUCUGAGGGAGGGGAGAAGGCAGCACCAUUACCCUGAUUUCCACCAGGAGCUCCAGGACCGGGGGCCAAAGUCUUGGGCAUUGGAAAGAAGGGAGUUGGACCCAUCGUGGAGUGGAAGGCACCGUAGCUCUAGGCUGAAUGGGUCACCCAUACACUGGUCAGACAGGGACAGCCUAAGCGAUGUCCCCUCAUCCAUCGAGGCACGCUGGCAGCCGAGCCACCCUCCUUUCAGGAGCCGCUGUCAGGAGAGGCCCCGCAGGCCCAGCCCCCGGGAGAGCACUCAGAGGCACGGGAGACGACGCAGGUACCGCAGCUACUCUCCUCCCCUGCCCUCUGGCCUCAGUUCCUGGAGCUCUGAAGAGGACAAGGAGAGGCAGCCCCAGAGCUGGGGGGCCCACCGCCGCCGCUCGCACUCCCCACACUGGCCCGAGGAGAAGCCGCCUAGCUACCGCUCACUGGAUGUCACUCCAGGCAAGAAUAGCAGGAAAAAAGGGAGUGUGGAGAGGCGCUCGG